UAACCGCCCGCCGAAAGAGCGGCCUACGUCCUAUCAGCUUGUUGGUGGGGUAAUGGCCUACCAAGGCGAUGACGGGUAGCUGGACUGAGAGGUCGGUCAGCCACAAGGGAACUGAGACACGGUCCCUACACCUACGGGUGGCAGCAACCGGGAAUUUUGGACAAUGGGCGAAAGCCUGAUCCAGCGACGCCGCGUGGGGGAAGAAGGCCUUCGGGUUGGUAAACCCCUUUUGUCCCGCAUAAUGCGGGGAGAAUAAGCACCUGCCAACUACGUGCCAGCAGCCGCGGUGAAACGUAGGGUGCAAGCGUUAUCCGGAUUUACUGGGCGUAAAGGGUUGCGUAGGCGGUUUGUUAAGUCAAAAUUGAAAUAUUUCCGCUUAACGGAAAGAACGGUUUUGAUACUAAUAAACUUUGAGGCUCACAGAGGUAGCCGGAACUUGCAGUGGAGCGGUGAAAUGCGUUGAGAUUGCAAGGAACACCGAUGGCGUAGGCAGGCUACUGGGUGAGAUCUGACGCUGAUGCACGAAAGCUAGGGGAGCGAAGCGGAUUAGAGACCCGCGUAGUCCUAGCCGUAAACGAUGGACACUAGAUGAGUGUCUUUUUAGGUGCUUGUCGCAAGCUAACGCGUUAAGUGUCCCGCCUGGGGAGUACGGCCGCAAGGCUAAAACUCAAAGGAAUUGACGGGGACCCGCACAAGCGGUGGAGCAUGUGGUUUAAUUCGACACAAAGCGAAAAACCUUACCAGGGUUUGACAUCCUAACUGCACGCCCCGCGAAAUCGGGGUUUCUUCGAGAGUGUUAGGACAGGUGCUGCAUGGCUGUCGUCAGCUUGUACCGUGAGGCGCACCCUUAAGUGGGUUAACAAGCGCAACCCCCAUCCUGUGUUAAAUAUUCACAGGAAACUGCCCGCUAAAUGCGUGGAGGAAGGAGGGGACGACGUCAAGUCAUCACGGCCCUUAUGCCCUGGGCUACACACAUCCUACAAUGGGUGUUAACAACGGGUU
Molecule: ribosomal RNA, 1002 nt
Filed under: uncultured bacterium
Lineage: Bacteria
Description: bacterial SSU rRNA
Rfam family: Bacterial small subunit ribosomal RNA
Source: RNAcentral